CCUACGGGGGGCAGCAGUGAGGAAUAUUGGUCAAUGGACGAGAGUCUGAACCAGCCAAGUAGCGUGAAGGAUGACUGCCCUAUGGGUUGUAAACUUCUUUUAUAUGGGAAUAAAAUGUUCCACGUGUGGGAUUUUGUAUGUACCAUAUGAAUAAGGAUCGGCUAACUCCGUGCCAGCAGCCGCGGUAAUACGGAGGAUCCGAGCGUUAUCCGGAUUUAUUGGGUUUAAAGGGAGCGUAGGUGGAUUGGUAAGUCAGUUGUGAAAGUUUGCGGCUCAACCGUAAAAUUGCAGUUGAAACUGGCAGUCUUGAGUACAGUAGAGGUGGGCGGAAUUCGUGGUGUAGCGGUGAAAUGCUUAGAUAUCACGAAGAACUCCGAUUGCGAAGGCAGUUCACUGGACUGCAACUGACACUGAGGCUCGAAAGUGUGGGUAUCAAACAGGAUUAGAUACCCGUGUAGUC
RNAcentral lists this ribosomal RNA (460 nucleotides) under uncultured bacterium. RNAcentral's name for it is "partial 16S ribosomal RNA". It matches the Rfam family "Bacterial small subunit ribosomal RNA", at positions 338 to 795 of the family's 1533-position model. The record is from RNAcentral.